RNAcentral lists this long non-coding RNA (1117 nucleotides) under Gossypium raimondii (Peruvian cotton). RNAcentral's name for it is "long non-coding RNA (GRAI_LNC005010)". The record is from RNAcentral. Lineage: Eukaryota; Viridiplantae; Streptophyta; Magnoliopsida; Malvales; Malvaceae.
CGGUUUUAGGACCUCGAGCAGGAUUUGUUGAUCGAUUUCCCUAUCAGAUGGCUCAAAAGUCACUUUAAAAUAAAAUUUAUCUUAUUUUUAUCGCUUUAAAUUUUGUUUCUCAAUUUAUUCAAUUUAAUUAAGAUAAUUAUUUGAAUUAGCUGCUGUGGUUAAACAUUCCGUUAAUCCACAGAUGAAUUGCUGACAUGACAUAUUAGCCAAUUGAGUGGCGAUAUGUGACAUUUUUUAAGUUUUGGUUAAAGCUUAGGGACCUCUAUCUAAUUAAUCCAAAACACUUUUUUUUCUCUCUUUCUCUGCACCUACCGCUUACUUACGAUUAAAGAAGAAGAAGAAGCAGAGAACGAAACUUUCAAGCUAGAGCUUGUUACCAAAUUGAUUGAUCGUUUCAAUCAAGGAUUUGCAAUAAAUUAUUUCAUCAAUGAGAAACCAUAAACUAUAUAACACUAUCUAUUUUUCUUUUCCCAGUACGAGUUAAAUUUAUGCAAGAAAUUAAUAGAGCAUUUGAAUAUAUAUAUAUAUAUAUAUAUAGACUUGAGCCAUAAACUAUGGAAGGAAAUUGAUAAAUCAGGAAAAACACAAUAUUGGUUUAUAAUUAAAAAGGGGGGGGGGGGGAGGGGGGAAUUGGGGGAUAAUUUACCAUCAAUUCUUAAAUACAAAGUGUCGUUGAAUUUUGCAGUGUUCUUUUGGUUGAAAGUAUUUGGAAGAAUUCAGGAAAUUCCAGCACAAGCUUAAGAGAAUAAGAGAAAGUUUGUUGCUUCAAAGCUUCAUCUUCUUAUAAAAUGCCAAUAAUAUACAGCACAAGAAGUCUCCUACUUUUCUUUUUCUUUUUUCUUUUUUUUUUGGAUGCUGCAACUGCUUCACUUUCACCGCUCGUUCAUAAGAAAUUUAACAUGGAAUUGGUUACUAAAGAGACACCUCCUCAGAGUAAAAAGAUGAUACUAUCGGCCGCAGAGCAACCUACCCAGAAGAGAUAAUUAUCCAUACCCAGGGAAAGUUUUUUUUUUCUUCUUUUUCUCUGUUCUUUCUCUCUGUAAUUAAUCCAUUUCUGAGGUACAACGAGAGGAGAAAGAAAGAAAAAAAUUAGAUUAAUUACAUAAAGGUCCCUAAG